RNAcentral lists this ribosomal RNA (424 nucleotides) under uncultured bacterium. RNAcentral describes it as "bacterial SSU rRNA". It matches the Rfam family "Bacterial small subunit ribosomal RNA", at positions 355 to 796 of the family's 1533-position model. The record is from RNAcentral.
UGGGGAAUUUUGCGCAAUGGGGGAAACCCUGACGCAGCAACGCCGCGUGGAGGAAGAAAUAUCUUGGUAUGUAAACUCCUUUCGAUAGGGAAGAUAAUGACGGUACCGAGAGAAGAAGCCCCGGCUAACUUCGUGCCAGCAGCCGCGGUAAUACGAGGGGGGCAAGCGUUGUUCGGAAUUAUUGGGCGUAAAGGGCGCGUAGGCGGUUUGACAAGUCUCAUGUGAAAUCUAUGGGCUCAACCCAUAGUCUGCAUGGAAAACUGUCGGGCUUGAGUAUGGGAGAGGUGAGUGGAAUUUCCGGUGUAGCGGUGAAAUGCGUAGAUAUCGGAAGGAACACCUGAGGCGAAAGCGGCUCACUGGACCAUAACUGACGCUGAGGCGCGAAAGCUAGGGGAGCAAACAGGAUUAGAUACCCCCGUAGUCC